Crotalus tigris (Tiger rattlesnake) is the source of this 5746-nucleotide long non-coding RNA. RefSeq lists it as uncharacterized. The transcript is spliced from 3 exons. Lineage: Eukaryota; Metazoa; Chordata; Lepidosauria; Squamata; Viperidae. The record is from RefSeq and is a predicted model, not a curated record.
CGUUAAUGACUUCCACAUGGGUCUCUGGCAUUCUGAGCAUUGUCUGAAAUCUCCAAAUUUAGAAGAAAUAUGAAAAUUGUCAAGCACGCCUUCCUUAGGGGGUAAAACCAACAUUCGCUUGAACUGUUGCAGGUCAAGGCAGCAGUACCACAUGACCAGGCCUUAACCAAUGGUCUGCUUGGGGUUCCUGACAGAUGUGGCCGACAGCCAUCCAGCAUCAUCUUUCAGCUCAUAUAAGGUAAAAGUAAAAGGUUUUCCAGAUUUUAAGCAGUGAAGAAAGAGGACCACUUGUGCUAGCCGCUUAAAAGAGGAGUGGCAACUCGGAGGUUCCAGUAGCCCCUCUAUAGUUUGAACAGAUGAAAAGGUGUCCAUCUUCUCCAUCCACAACAUGGGCCUGGUAUAUGACAGGAAGGGCUCUGACAUGUGGAUGAGAAGCAGCAGCUUUGUGGGGAAGAGUGGAGAGUCAGCCUUCAAAGGAACAGAAACCGAGGAGCAGAAAACAAUCUCAGUUUACCUGCGCACAGGGGGGUUGUGACCGGUGUUUUCUCAAAACACUGCUUUCGUUGUCAUUUUUACUUUAUAUCUUUUAAUAUGCCCUGAAGCCAGUGGUGGGAUUCAGCCAGUUCGCACCACUUUGGCAAAACCGGUAGCUAAUUUUUUGUUGCCCAGGUCCAUAAUGGACCUCCAGAAGCGGCAUCCACACAGAGAAACGGUUGUUUACAGAUUUGAAUCCCACCACUGCCUGAAGCCAAGAUUUCAUUGUUCAUAGGCUAGCUGUUGAGAUGCAAUAGGUAAUGCUGAGCUCGUUUCUGGAUAUUAGUUUUAUUUUUGCUUGGUUUUUUGUAUGCUGCUCAUAUGAACACCAGCAAAUCUCUCCACACAUUCAUGUUGAACUCAUAUUUAAUAUAUAGAUAUACAUAUUCAGCACAGUCCAUUCAUCUUAUAUGAGCAGAUUCAUGGUAUAAUAAUUCUUUGAGCAUGGACUGGGUAUAAUAAAUAUCCUGCUGAGCUCAAACUAAAAAACUGAACCAUAUCUCAGAGGUGAGGUGGGAUGGGGGAAUUGCUGUAGUUAUUUCCUCGUUUAUAAGCUUCUUUUUUCCCUAGGCAUACAUUCCUAGCAGAAGAUUUCUAAAUAGAAUCAUCUGACUAUAGUCUGAGAUUCCUCUCCUCUGGAAACGAUUUGAUGUUUCAUUUUCCUUUGACUCAUUGCAGCUCAUUCCUAAAUUUGGCUAUUAUUUUACAUUCAUCAACCCAAAUUUAUUCUCGGCUGAAUAUAAUGCAUUUGGCAAGCUUCCUGAAACAGAGACCUUACCCAUUUGAGGUUUUGAUAUAUAUAAUUUUCAAAUGGUUUACCAGUCUUGAAUGUCAAUCUGUCCAAUCUAACUAUGGAUUUAGAACUUAGAAAGGCUCAGUUGUAGCAAAAGUACAGGCUUAUGAACGCAGAGCUACUGAGGAUUUGAUUGUUGAAAAUAUGAGAAAAGUGCAUCAGCAUAUGCAGGAGUGCAUAUUACAAUAAGAAAUUAGAGUAUCUGGAAAGUUUCUUAGUCUCAGCAGGGGUUCUAAUGCAAAGCCUAUUGCUGCUUGCAUCUUAACCAGCACUGCCUUUCAGUGUCUGGAAAAUGCUAUAAAAAUCUUUUUGCCAUUUUUUUCCAUAUUUCCUCAUUUUGUGUAACAAGUGUGAUGGCUGGAAAGAAAAAGAAGAACCAAAUUUCUUGUGUCUUUUUGGAGGGUCACUGUGUCUCUGCUUGGUUAGCUUCGUAGGUUACAUGUGCUAUAGUUGGUUCCCAUCUCUCCCUCCAUCUUCAUGGCAUAAUCCUCACCUCUCGCUGUGUCGAUGGAGGAAGCUGGUGAGGAUGCUGUGAUCCAAGAGCUUCCAAGGACCAAGGCUAGAGCAGAGAGAAAGGAGAGGCUGCCUAACAGCAAGAAUGGAGCUGCAGCCCCUGGAGCUGCCAUCUGCUUCUUGUCAAGUUGUUGUGAAGUGCUUGUUCCUGAUGACGGAGGUUGCUGGACAGCAGGGUGAGGAUGCGGUUAUGACAGAUGCUCUGUUUACCAUACUUCAAGCUCUUGUCAGGCUAACACAGGAUGUUAGCUUUUCCCUGGAAAAAAGUGUUGCUUGAUCUUAUGUUCACCUCUUCAUUUAGUGCAUGAAGUCAAAAUCUCCCUUUCUGGGUCGAUCUGUACAUAGGAAAGCCAGAGAAACUUAAAUGAAUUCCCAGGUCAUGGCUUAUUUUAUAGUCUCUCUCAGUUGGUCUUUUACUCAAAAGAUGAAAAGAUUGUAACAUUAAUUCCUUCAGUACGUCCUGGGUCUGACCUCUAUCUGGAAUUACAUCUAUCCCUUGCUUCCAAACACAAUUGUAUCACUGGAACAGGCAUGAACAUAUAAGUCAGGGGAUAGCUAAACUACAGUUUUGUUUAUAUGGCUAUGGAUUUCAGCUUUUAAGCAGACAAACAUCAAGCUGAUUAUCUCACAUCUGACUUAUUUCAACAUAGCCAAGCAAAGCUAAUCUAACAUUCCCAUAGUGGCUGAAAUGUUUGUUCAAGCACACUGUUCGAUCAGCCACCACAUUUACUCUGAGUGCGGCUUCAAUUUGCAUCCACUUUAUGAGAGCCAGGAAGGGUCUAGGUAGAAAAUGCAUAUAUAAUUUUAUCAUACAACAACAGCAAUGCCUUUGAAAUAACAACAACAAAUAUUCAGAAACACCAACAAAGCUGACACUGAAAAGAAAAGAAGCCUACAUGCUUGUUACCCCUUGGCAGAAUUUCUACUGCUCUCAAUUUCAGUGUUGAGAAAUAUUCACAAGAUCAAAACUAAUCUGUUUAUUCUGAGCAUCAACAACACCAGGCUAAACAUCCUGUUAUUGUUGGGUACAUGCUCAUAAAAUGGAACUGUUGUAAAGCAAGAGAUUCAGAGAACUUUCCCAACUAUUUUCUGCCUUCCAUAUAACUUGAAUCUCUUCAACUAUAUUUAUUUAUUGUAUUUUUUUUUUAAAAAAAUAAGGAAACAAUUGUAGCCACCAUUAAAGGUUUAGGCUUAGCAAACUUUCUCAAGAUCAUCCAGUCAGGGUUUUCUGGCUACAGGAAGAUCUGAACGUGGGUCUUCUUGAACUAAAUUAGAUAUGCUAAUCAUUAUGACACCAUGCUGUUAUUUUUAAAGUGAGACAUCUUUUUGCAAAUGCAUCUGAAAGGUGCCUUGGUACCUAUACAGAUACGGCCUUGUCCAAGAAGCAUUUUCCAUACUGCUAAUUUUGUCAUCUAACUUCCUACAAGGAAAAUCCUGCAAAAAUGUCCAGUCAUUGUAUUAAAACCAUAUUUCUUACAGCAAAGGCCCCAUAAAACUCUCUACUUUAACUUUGAUUUUUUUUAAUCAGUGCAUGUGAUUGGUACUUGCUAUGAAUAACAGGUCUGAAGAAUCCCUUUGCAAAGCUCAGGGCUUCCUGGGCAGAUGCUCAGGAACUCUCAGUAAGCAACUUGAUUCGGGAGUGCGGGGGAAAGUAGUAAGAACAAAAAAAGUACUAGAAAAUUUAAAAACUGUAGGUUGCUCCAAAUCCUGUAUUCUUCUUCUCGGUGACUGCCUAACCUCUCUGCGACAGCUCAUGUGAGAGAAAACUGCUUCCAAGAUGGACGCUUUGAUGACUUCAAUGUCUCCCAGCCUAAGGUGCAGUGCUGCAUCUCUGGUCAGUUGUGAGUCUGAGAUGAAGCACUGUAGCUCAGGAAGGGAGAAACAAGGCCACGGAAAGAAAAGGACCAGCCCUGCUCUCCUCUCCCAUGUUUUCAAGUCAAGCACCCAGAGGUAAGAACCCGGGGCAGGUAUGAUCCAGGAGGUAACAACACUUCCACAGGGUUGAGGAACAGCGUGGAGAAAAUGACAGAUUGCAGCAGCGAAUGCUACAAACACCGAAGCCCAUUCUGUCUGGCCAGGCAUCAUGGGGGAAUAUGGUGCAAGGCAACUGGCCUUCUGGUUUGAGAAGAAGUGAAGUUCACAACAGCAUAUAGUUAAAAAAAAAAAAAAAAAAAAAAGCAGAUGACCCAAAUGGACUCCUCUUCUGACCAGGGGCGAGGAGGGUUUCUCAAAUCAUUCAUAUUUUGAAAAAAGGAAUCACAGCCCAGGAAGCAUCGGACUCUUCUAGUUCUACCAAAUCAUCUUCUGACUGCUGCCACCCAGUGGAAAUAGACAUUGAAGGAACCACUACUACGCAGCAGCAGAAGGGAAGGAGCAAAUUAAAGAGAAUCCCACCCAGAUCAGAGCCCAAACUCACUAUGUCCUCGGGGUCCAGUUUUCCCAGGAAUCCCUUAGAAGAUAAGAAGGGGAUUCCUGGAAAUACUGUUCUUGGGGUCAUGGCUCGGCAACUGAUACAAUUGCUCACUUUUAUCACACCAGAGGGAGCCAUAAAAAGAGGCAGAGGGUCAAUGGGAAUAGAAAAACAAGCUCCCUGAAAAUCCAUUGAGAUAUAUAUCCAUUUUCAUUUUAUUAGUUUCCAAGGACCUAACAAACCCAAUCAAAAAUUGUAAAGGGAUUCUCUCAAACCCAUAACUUCUUUUGGGGAUGACGGCCACAGGAUCUGAAUGAAGUACUAAGAGUAUUUAGUACUCUGAAGAGUAAUAGAUGGCAAAACAUCUACUGAUUUCAUUUCAUUUACAUUUUAAUUGGAACUAAAAUUGCCAUUUAAAUCACAUUUUAUUUUAAGGUGCUGAAUUUGCUUGCUCUCCUAUUUUUAAUAUUUUCAUCUUCUUUCACUUUAAGCAGUACAGUGUGGUAACUGAGGAGGCAAUGGCUGUUGUUUUUGAAAGCUACAGGUCAUCUGGGUUCAACCUAUGUACCUCUGGCCUAAAUUAAGAAACUUGGCUUCUUAAGAAAUCAGAGCUAGAGAAAGGCCUUUCUUAGCAGGUGCCACUCACAUUUUGUUUAGAUUGUACCGUUCCUCUACCAACACAAAUAAGCUAGCACAGAUAAGGGAACCAAAGAGGAAUAGCAUGGUUGUGGAAUCCUUGUGUUUUCUGAGCUUGGUUGUUUGCUUGUGGACAUUUUGUUACCUGACUAGAAAAAAAAUCAUUGGUGCUGGAUCACCAAUGCACUGAUGAUGUUACAGAGUCAGAUAAUGAAAUGUCUUCAAGCAAACAUUCAAGUUCAGAGAGUACACCAAGGACUCCACAGUUCAGCCAUGAGCUGCAUGUAUUCUCUUCUAUUGGUAAUAUAGCAGAUAUGUCAUUGGUAUGUACUCUCUCCUGGCUUUCUGAAAUGCUCGAAGACCCGGCUCUGGAGUUUUGCUUGGGGCCCACAAAGCAGCACAAAACCAUGGGGUUGCUUAGUGCCUUGAAACCCCUCCCCUGCCUUUUUGACUGUGAAUUUUAAUUGUUUUAUUUUUGUUUUUAACUGCCUAUUUAUAUAUAGCUUUUUUAUUUUUAUUCUUACUUGUAUAUUACCCAGGGUCACUCUAUGAGGGAAAUGGGCCCCAAUAAUAUCAUAGUUCUUCACCUGGAGGAGAAAUGGAUCAUUUCACACAUCUGUACAUUCAUAUAUUGGUGUCCCAAUCUAGCUCAAUAAAUGAAAGAUGCUUCUUUUUGGGAUUGCAAGGAAUGGUAUGAAACUGUCUUCUUGGUGUUUUACAGUAUGUCUAUGGUUGAACCAUAUUGUUGAAAUUCCUCCUCUCGUUCUCAACAGUCAUUGCAGAAUGGAUAACAGGCAGUACUUAAUCCCUUCUGUGAAGAUUUCUGUGUCAAUAAAGCUUAAAACUUGUUUUUUUUGAAA